AAAAAGGGCUUUUACCGAAUGGUACUCAGAGGUCCUUCGGGACUUCUGGGCGGAAUCGCUAUCAAGAGAUUUCGGAAGCACAAUCUUUGGAAAUUAUGGCUGUUGGUUGCCUCUAGCACUGACGCCACA
This 129-nucleotide small nuclear RNA is filed under the name Anneissia japonica. RNAcentral's name for it is "U11 spliceosomal RNA". It matches the Rfam family "U11 spliceosomal RNA". Lineage: Eukaryota; Metazoa; Echinodermata; Crinoidea; Comatulida; Comatulidae. The record is from RNAcentral.